CGGUAGAUAAAAUGGAGAGACGAUUAGCACUUCCCUUGACAAGGAUGGAUUCUACCGUAGAAUAACAUGUAAAAGUGAUGAGUUUGU
Molecule: small nuclear RNA, 87 nt
Organism: Achroia grisella
Lineage: Eukaryota; Metazoa; Arthropoda; Insecta; Lepidoptera; Pyralidae
Source: RefSeq, a predicted model, not a curated record